This 497-nucleotide ribosomal RNA is filed under the name uncultured bacterium. RNAcentral's name for it is "partial 16S ribosomal RNA". It matches the Rfam family "Bacterial small subunit ribosomal RNA", at positions 28 to 507 of the family's 1533-position model. The record is from RNAcentral.
GAUGAACGCUGGCGGCGUGCCUAAUACAUGCAAGUCGAGCGAACAGACGAGGAGCUUGCUUCUCUGACGUUAGCGGCGGACGGGUGAGUAACACGUGGAUAACCUACCUAUAAGACUGGGAUAAGUUCGGGAAACCGGAUCUCAUACCGGAUAUUAUAUUGAACCGCAUGGUUCAAUAGUGAAAACGGGUUUUGAUGUCCCUUAUUCAUGGUUCCUCGCCGCAUUAGCUAGUUGGUACGGUAACGGCUUACCAAGGCAACGAUGCGUAGCCGACCUGAGAGGAUGAUCAGCCACACUGGAACUGAGACACGGUCCAGACUCCUACGGGAGGCAGCAGUAGGGAAUCUUCCGCAAUGGGCGAAAGCCUGACGGAGCAACGCCGCGUGAGUGAUGAAGGUCUUCGGAUCGUAAAACUCUGUUAUUAGGGAAGAACAAAUGUGUAAGUAACUAUGCACGUCUUGACGGUACCUAAUCAGAAAGCCACGGCUAACUACGUG